Molecule: ribosomal RNA, 500 nt
Filed under: fungal sp. TZ-2013
Lineage: Eukaryota; Fungi
Description: eukaryotic LSU rRNA
Rfam family: 5.8S ribosomal RNA (bases 134-287)
Source: RNAcentral
GUGAACUUACCGCUGUUGUUGCCUCGGCAGGUUGUGUUAUACCGUGUCAUUAGGCGCGGGAUAGCCCUGCUUGCCGGUGGCUUAUUAAAUUCUGUUUAUUAUGUUAUUCUGAACCUAAAUAAAAAAUUAUUAAAACUUUCAACAACGGAUCUCUUGGUUCUGGCAUCGAUGAAGAACGCAGCGAAAUGCGAUAAGUAAUGUGAAUUGCAGAAUUCAGUGAAUCAUCGAAUCUUUGAACGCACAUUGCGCCCAUUAGUAUUCUAGUGGGCAUGCCUGUUCGAGCGUCAUUUCAACCCUUAAGCCUCUGCUGCUUAGCGUUGGGGGCCUACAGCUUUAGCUAUAGCUCCCUAAAUUGAGUGGCGGAGUCGGUUCACGCUCUAGAUGUAGUAAUUAUUUUUAAUCUCGCCUAAAGCUGCCCCGAUCUCCUGCCGUAAAACCCCCUAAUUUUUAAAGGUUGACCUCGGAUCAGGUAGGAAUACCCGCUGAACUUAAGCAUAUCA